CCUACGUGCGUCAGCAGAGGGGAAUAUUGCGCAAUGGGCGAAAGCCUGACGCAGCGACGCCGCGUGAGGGAUGAAGGUCUUCGGAUCGUAAACCUCUGUCAGCAGGGAAGAACGGUCACUGUGCUAAUCAGCAGUGAAUUGACGGUACCUGCAAAGGAAGCACCGGCUAACUCCGUGCCAGCAGCCGCGGUAAUACGGAGGGUGCGAGCGUUAAUCGGAAUUACUGGGCGUAAAGCGCUCGUAGGCGGUAUGUCAAGUCAAGGGUGAAAUCCCCGCGCUCAACGUGGGAACUGCCUUUGAAACUGGCAAACUGGAGUGUGUGAGAGGAUAGUGGAAUUCCAGGUGUAGGAGUGAAAUCCGUAGAUAUCUGGAGGAACAUCAGUGGCGAAGGCGACUAUCUGGCACAUAACUGACGCUGAGGAGCGAAAGCGUGGGUAGCAAACAGGAUUAGAUACCCCAGUAGUC
Molecule: ribosomal RNA, 465 nt
Filed under: uncultured bacterium
Lineage: Bacteria
Description: partial 16S ribosomal RNA
Rfam family: Bacterial small subunit ribosomal RNA
Source: RNAcentral